Molecule: ribosomal RNA, 930 nt
Filed under: Triticum aestivum (bread wheat)
Lineage: Eukaryota; Viridiplantae; Streptophyta; Magnoliopsida; Poales; Poaceae
Description: partial small subunit ribosomal RNA
Source: RNAcentral
AUGGCUGCUCACCCGCCUGCUCCGGCUGCUCUGCCUACCAUGCCGAUGAUUGAUUGGAGGCCACUGCAUGCGGCAGCCAGGCCGUCUGUCUUUAUCAUUGUCCUCACGCCACGUCUAAAGAAGACCCUGAGACGUGUCGCUGACACAUACGGCAUCAAGGAAGAGAAAGAGCUUGAUGAAAUUUUUAAAGCAGAUUACCUCACGGAAACCGGCAUUGCCGUGAGGACAGUGGGCGACUUUCUCUUCAUCACAACAACUGCGCACAUUGUAGACUUCCUUUUUCAGGCACAGUGGGGGCCCAUUUCAGCAGCUCAGUUCAAUGAUUAUUUUGAGAUUGCGGUCACCUGCUCCCAUGCGGAAAGUCGCUUCAUUCAGGGCGGGUUUGUCGGAGAGCGAACCUACACACGAGCAACGGUUUGUGCCAUCGAUUGUGCCAAAGACUUGAUGAUGGUACGCGUGGAUCUUAGGGAUCUGGCCGUGAGGACUAGCGGGGAGCUGCAGCAGAGGAUUCGCUGCACAUCAGAUCAUCCGGCUGUUCAGUUCAGCAUGGCCACCAACGCGGGUACCCAAUGCAUGCUCUACUCUUGGCCGGCGUAUCGUCCGUGCACUAUGGCCACGGGACUUCAAGGCCUUCAUCGAGGACCGUUGGAUUUGAUGAGCACCAACAAGAAUGGCUAUGACUUGCAGCUUAUUGAAGCAUCGGUGGGAACCGAGGCCGGGUCAUCUGGCGCUCCACUUUACAAUACCAAUCAGCAGGUGCUAGGCAUACUGCACGGCGGGUCUGGGGUUCACUCACAAUUUAUCCCGGCACGCUACAUCUGGACCUUCAUUAACAACAAUUGUCUCCUUCCGAAGCCUCGAGGUCCGCAGGAUCAGGGUAAGCCCUCCCAGAGGCCGGGCCCCCCUCCUAGAGAUCGAGACAAGCGCUGA